AAGUCGUAACAAGGUAACCGUAGGUGAACCUGCGGUUGGAUCAUUAACAAGAUCUUGUUUGUUUUUGGGUCAUCUAGUGUGUGUGUCUACUUAUUGUGGACCAUGCGUAGGGGAGACUACUCUUCUGGAGGAAAUCCUUUCUUGACCCAAUUCGCAAACUUAUCAACCCUUUGUGCAAUAUUGAUGUUUUUUGGGUUUCUCAUUCAUUCGAUGUUCCUUCCAUUCAUUGGUUGGCCAUUGAUGGGGGAGGCCCAAUAUCUACCAAAAAAACCAUUCCAAUUUGUCUUACAUCUCUAUGAAAAAUAGAAACAACUUUUGACAACGGAUCUCUUGGCUCUC
This 339-nucleotide unclassified non-coding RNA is filed under the name fungal sp. Its description in RNAcentral is "partial internal transcribed spacer region". The stretch from base 1 to 46 matches the Rfam family "Eukaryotic small subunit ribosomal RNA", at positions 1786 to 1831 of the family's 1831-position model. The record is from RNAcentral. Lineage: Eukaryota; Fungi.